CCUGGAGACCACACUCAACUGAGAGAGGCAAAAAAAUACCCCCGGCCCACACUGUUCCUGUUCCCUGCCCGCACACCCACCCACACGCACACUUUCCACACCAACCAACGGCAGACUUACCGGCGACGUGGAAUCACGCUUUUCCUGGGUCCUGCCCAACACAUGUCGGCGGGCAGCUGAGCAAGACCGGAGCCUGGACGGUCAGCAAUACAGCAAAGGGGAAAGUGAGGCACCCUCCUUCGACCUCAGGGCCGAGGUGGCCAACUCACGUGCCCACAUCUUGGGGCUGAUUUUUCUCCUCCUCCCAACUUGAAACUGAAAUCCAUGAUGAAGAAAAUAAAAGUAGCACAAUUUAGAUAAAUUGUCCAUUUGAGCACAUAGACCAUUUACCACGCAUUAUCUAGUUCUGGGUGAAAGAGCCAGAAAGGGGAGAAGGGUAAAUGGUGACACCCUCUGAGGGGUGUAGAAAAGAGGGGUUGUUUGGAGAGGAAACAGGGCAUGUAAUAAGCAUUUUCUUAUCCCUGGAAGUAGUGACGUGAUGAGCGUGAGACAGUAACUGGACCCCCACCAUGCUAUUGAUAGUACUUUUCACAUCAUCAAUGUUGAAAAGCAAAAACAACACACACUCAAACUCACAAAAAAAAAAAAAAAAAAAAAAGACUCCAAACCCACCGCCAGUGAUGGGAAGGAAAGACCUUUCAGAGAACGCCCAUACAGACCAUGAUCGUGGAAAUGGGAAGGGAAGGCUUCUCUGGUGGGGAGAGGGUCCAGAAAGUCUUAAAUAACUUUUUUUUAAGAAAAAUAAAAUAUAACCCCACCACAAAACAGACAAGAACAGCAGAGAAAUUUGUGUCCACCGUCUUCAAGACUUAGGAAAUGAGCAUCAUCAAAGAACAAACAAAAAAGUCCACAGCUCAAGUGUCAACAAGAGGUUCUGCAGCUGAGGAUGGCAGUAGAUGGGGGCUGGCUGGCAGGUGUAACCCACAGAAGUGUUACUGUGCAGCUUUAACAUCAACACCACGACAGCAGCGCCAGAGGUGGCAGACAGAUAACAAAGACAUUAAUUACAUCAGCCAUGCCAGGCUUGAGCGGUGGGAAUUUCUGUUCUUAAGAUAUGGGAUCAGAAAAGAAGAUCCAGUUCUGCUCAUUAGACAUCAGAUGAGAAAGUAGGUGCAUAUUUUGUUUUGUGUUUGCAUUGUCAUGUUCAGUGGAUGCUUUUUCAGAUAUGUUAAUUUUAUAUCAAAGGAAUUCCAUGCGCAGAGUUAAAAAUAUCAAAAAGUUUUAUAAAGGAAACCAGAGGUUCUCUUUCCCCAUGCUUCCUGUUCUCCCCCUUGGGUACCUUCCCAAAGGCUAGGAUUUUUUUUUUUUUUUGUCUUUUUAGGACCACACCUGCAGCAUAUGAAAGUUCCCAGCCUAGGAGUUCAAAUCAGAGCUGUUGUUGCUGGCCUACACCACAGCCACAGCAUUGCCAUAUCCUUAACCCACUGAUCGAGGCCAGGGAUCGAACCUGUGUGCUCAAGGAUACAAGUUGGGUUUGUUACCACUGAGCCACAAUGGGAACUCCCAAGGCCAGGAUUUUUAAAGGUUAGCUCUGUAUUUCGAAACAUGCACAGAUUGUGAUUUCUUGACUAAUUUCCCUCAGACAUUAUUUAUUAAUUUCUUUCUUGCAGAAGAUAAGCACUUAGCUCUCUUCUGUGGGGAUGAGUUAUUUUCUUAAUCCUGCACCAAAAUGAGCAUUCUCUGAUUCUCAGAGCCUGUAGUGCUUCUCAGAAUCCCAUACAGGCUGUUCUCACCCUGCCGCUUGUCCAGGCUAGAGAGCGAGUGAGCUUUGAUGGGGGCGAUGUUGCUGGUCUCAAAUACACAGGCAGCCUCCCCACAGGCACUGGCUGUUGCUAUUUCCCAGUUGGAAUUGCUCAGGAGGUCUAGGCCUCCUGGAAAGUAGGCCAGCAUUGCAAAUAUUUACCAAAAAAAAAAAAAAAAACCUUUGGGGAAUGGAAAACUGUUUGGGUGGAAGUCCAAGGAUGGCUCUGAGGACCCUGCUGGAGUUGGGGUCUGAGCAGGUGGGUGAGCGGAGCAGAGAGGGGAAGUCAUGUGUGUACAGAGAUGGAUGACAAGCGGUCACUCUCAGGAAUAAGACCUUAAGAUAUGCAAACAAACCCGGUGGAAGUCAAGCUGCUGGGAGAAAUGCUGGUUAGCAGGUUGGCGAAAACUCACGUUGAUCCCUCAUGUCAGAUUUAACACCGAAAAAGACAGGGGGAAAAAACCCUUCUAGGCAGAGUAAAAGCCUUAACAUUUUUAGUAAAAAUAAACACCAGAAGACAAUAAAAUUGAACA
This 2334-nucleotide long non-coding RNA is filed under the name Sus scrofa (pig). RNAcentral describes it as "lncRNA (ENSSSCG00070025712.1)". The record is from RNAcentral. Lineage: Eukaryota; Metazoa; Chordata; Mammalia; Artiodactyla; Suidae.